This 22-nucleotide microRNA is filed under the name Panagrellus redivivus. RNAcentral's name for it is "prd-miR-9b-3p". Its record names the gene prd-miR-9b-3p. Lineage: Eukaryota; Metazoa; Nematoda; Chromadorea; Rhabditida; Panagrolaimidae. The record is from miRBase by way of RNAcentral.
AUAAAGCUAGGUUACCAGAGCU